Molecule: ribosomal RNA, 468 nt
Filed under: uncultured bacterium
Lineage: Bacteria
Description: partial 16S ribosomal RNA
Rfam family: Bacterial small subunit ribosomal RNA
Source: RNAcentral
GACGAACGCUGGCGGCGUGCUUAACACAUGCAAGUCGAACGGAAAGGCCCUGUUUUUGUGGGGGGCUCGAGUGGCAAACGGGAGAGUAACACGUGAGUAACCUGCCCACGACUUUGGGAUACCUCCAGGAACCUGUGGCUAAUACCGGAUAGGAGCUCCUGCUGCAUGGUGGGGGCUGGAAAGUUUCGGCGGUUGGGGAUGGAUUCGCGGCUUAUCAGCUUGUUGGUGGGGUAGUGGCCUACCAAGGCAUUGACGGGUAGCCGGCCUGAGCGGGUGACCGGCCACAAUGGGACUGAGGUACGGCGCAGACUCCUACGGGAGGCAGCAGUGGGGAAUAUUGCACAGUGGGGGGAAGCCUGAUGAAGCAGCGCCGCGGGCGGGAUGACGGCCUUCGGGGUGUAAACCGCUUUCGCCUGUGACGAAGCGUGAGUGACGGUAAUGGGUAAAGAAGCACCGGCUAACUACGUG